This 257-nucleotide ribosomal RNA is filed under the name uncultured bacterium. RNAcentral's name for it is "partial 16S ribosomal RNA". It matches the Rfam family "Bacterial small subunit ribosomal RNA", at positions 524 to 777 of the family's 1533-position model. The record is from RNAcentral.
UACGAAGGGGGCGAGCGUUGUUCGGAAUUACUGGGCGUAAAGGGCGCGUAGGCGGCCGAGCAAGUUUAGAUGUGAAAGUCCUGGGCUUAACCUGGGGACUGCAUUUGAUACUGCUUGGCUUGAAUUCGGGAGAGGAUAGCGGAAUUCCCAGUGUAGAGGUGAAAUUCGUAGAUAUUGGGAAGAACACCGGUGGCGAAGGCGGCUCUCUGGACCGAUACUGACGGCUGAGGCGCGAAAAGCGUGGGGAGCAAACAGGG